Molecule: long non-coding RNA, 266 nt
Organism: Bombyx mori (domestic silkworm)
Lineage: Eukaryota; Metazoa; Arthropoda; Insecta; Lepidoptera; Bombycidae
Exons: 2
Source: RefSeq, a predicted model, not a curated record
UUGUAUUUAUGAUCACUUUGUUGGUGCAACUAAAUAAACUAGAGGUCCCGCAGUAGUCGAAAUUCGACUAUAAUUAAUUGGAUGCCUUCGCCUGUUAAUUGUUGAAUCGCAUGAUGGGGCUUGCCUUUAACUACGUGAAAACGUUUCCGAAAACAAGCUAGUUUUUCUUUAUAAAUUAGCUAACUUUUUUAGAUAAGAUCGCUUUUGAUGGAAGUUGAUUGAAGCACUAAUGUGAUUCUGAUAAGAAUCAAAAGAAAAUUUCGCAC